This 497-nucleotide ribosomal RNA is filed under the name uncultured bacterium. RNAcentral describes it as "partial 16S ribosomal RNA". It matches the Rfam family "Bacterial small subunit ribosomal RNA", at positions 28 to 507 of the family's 1533-position model. The record is from RNAcentral.
GAUGAACGCUGGCGGCGUGCCUAAUACAUGCAAGUCGAGCGAACAGACGAGGAGCUUGCUCCUCUGACGUUAGCGGCGGACGGGUGAUUAACACGUGGAUAACCUACCUAUAAGACUGGGAUAACUUCGGGAAACCUGAUCUAAUACCGGACAAUAUAUUGAACCGCAUGGUUCAAUAGUUAAAGACGGUUUUGCUGUCACUUAUAGGUGGAUCCGCGCCGCAUUAGCUAGUUGGUAAGGUAACGGCUUACCAAGGCAACGAUGCGUAGCCGACCUGAGAGGGUGAUCAGCCACACUGGAACUGAGACACGGUCCAGACUCCUACGGGAGGCAGCAGUGGGGAAUCUUGCGCAAUGGGCGAAAGCCUGAUGGAGCCACGCCGCGUGAGUGAAGAAGGUCUUCGGAUCGUAAAACUCUGUUAUUAGGGAAGAACAAAUGUGUAAGUAACUAUGCACGUCUUGACGGUACCUAAACAGAAAGCCACGGCUAACUACGUG